This 1963-nucleotide ribosomal RNA is filed under the name Listeria monocytogenes. RNAcentral describes it as "partial 23S ribosomal RNA". It matches the Rfam family "Bacterial large subunit ribosomal RNA", at positions 408 to 2369 of the family's 2925-position model. The record is from RNAcentral. Lineage: Bacteria; Bacillati; Bacillota; Bacilli; Caryophanales; Listeriaceae.
CUGAGUACGGCGGAACACGUGAAAUUCCGUCGGAAUCCGGGAGGACCAUCUCCCAAGGCUAAAUACUCCCUAGUGACCGAUAGUGAACCAGUACCGUGAGGGAAAGGUGAAAAGCACCCCGGAAGGGGAGUGAAACAGUUCCUGAAACCGUGUGCCUACAAGUAGUUAGAGCCCGUUAAUGGGUGAUAGCGUGCCUUUUGUAGAAUGAACCGGCGAGUUACGAUUUGUUGCAAGGUUAAGCGGAAAAAGCGGAGCCGUAGCGAAAGCGAGUCUGAAUAGGGCGCAUAAGUAACAGGUCGUAGACCCGAAACCAGGUGAUCUACCCAUGUCCAGGAUGAAGGUAAGGUAAUACUUACUGGAGGUCCGAACCCACGCACGUUGAAAAGUGCGGGGAUGAGGUGUGGGUAGCGGAGAAAUUCCAAUCGAACUUGGAGAUAGCUGGUUCUCUCCGAAAUAGCUUUAGGGCUAGCCUCGAGGUAAAGAGUCAUGGAGGUAGAGCACUGUUUGGACUAGGGGCCCUUCUCGGGUUACCGAAUUCAGAUAAACUCCGAAUGCCAUGUACUUAUACUCGGGAGUCAGACUGCGAGUGAUAAGAUCCGUAGUCGAAAGGGAAACAGCCCAGACCACCAGUUAAGGUCCCCAAAUAUAUGUUAAGUGGAAAAGGAUGUGGGGUUGCUUAGACAACCAGGAUGUUGGCUUAGAAGCAGCCACCAUUGAAAGAGUGCGUAAUAGCUCACUGGUCGAGUGACCCCGCGCCGAAAAUGUACCGGGGCUAAACAUAUUACCGAAACUGUGGAUGAACCUCUUUAGAGGUUCGUGGUAGGAGAGCGUUCUAAGGGCGGUGAAGUCAGACCGGAAGGACUGGUGGAGCGCUUAGAAGUGAGAAUGCCGGUAUGAGUAGCGAAAGAAGGGUGAGAAUCCCUUCCACCGAAUAUCUAAGGUUUCCUGAGGAAGGCUCGUCCGCUCAGGGUUAGUCGGGACCUAAGCCGAGGCCGAUAGGCGUAGGCGAUGGACAACAGGUAGAGAUUCCUGUACCAGUGCUAAUUGUUUAACCGAUGGGGUGACACAGAAGGAUAGGGAAUCGCACGAAUGGAAAUGUGCGUCCAAGCAGUGAGUGUGAGAAGUAGGCAAAUCCGCUUCUCGCGAAGCAUGAGCUGUGAUGGGGAAGGAAAUUAAGUACGGAAGUUCCUGAUUUCACGCUGUCAAGAAAAGCCUCUAGGAAGAGUAGUACUGCCCGUACCGCAAACCGACACAGGUAGAUGAGGAGAGAAUCCUAAGGUGAGCGAGAGAACUCUCGUUAAGGAACUCGGCAAAAUGACCCCGUAACUUCGGGAGAAGGGGUGCUCUAUUAGGGUGCAAGCCCGAGAGAGCCGCAGUGAAUAGGCCCAGGCGACUGUUUAGCAAAAACACAGGUCUCUGCAAAACCGUAAGGUGACGUAUAGGGGCUGACGCCUGCCCGGUGCUGGAAGGUUAAGAGGAGUGCUUAGCUUCGGCGAAGGUACGAAUUGAAGCCCCAGUAAACGGCGGCCGUAACUAUAACGGUCCUAAGGUAGCGAAAUUCCUUGUCGGGUAAGUUCCGACCCGCACGAAAGGCGCAACGAUCUGGGCACUGUCUCAACGAGAGACUCGGUGAAAUUAUAGUACCUGUGAAGAUGCAGGUUACCCGCGACAGGACGGAAAGACCCCGUGGAGCUUUACUGCAACCUGAUAUGGAAUGUUUGUACCGCUUGUACAGGAUAGGUAGGAGCCGAAGAGACGUGUGCGCUAGCAUACGAGGAGGCAAUGGUGGGAUACUACCCUGGCUGUAUGACCAUUCUAACCCGCCACGCUUAGCGCGUGGGGAGACAGUGUCAGGUGGGCAGUUUGACUGGGGCGGUCGCCUCCUAAAGAGUAACGGAGGCGCCCAAAGGUUCCCUCAGAAUGGAUGGAAAUCAUUCGCAGAGUGUAAAGGCACAAGGGAGCU